UACGGAGGAUGCGAGCGUUAUCCGGAUUUAUUGGGUUUAAAGGGUGCGUAGGCGGAUUUUUAAGUCAGCGGUAAAAUGUCCGGGCUCAACCCGGGCCGGCCGUUGAAACUGACGGUCUUGAGUGGGCGAGAAGUAUGCGGAAUGCGUGGUGUAGCGGUGAAAUGCAUAGAUAUCGCGCAGAACCCCGAUUGCGAAGGCAGCAUACCGGUGCACAACUGACGCUCAGGCACGAAAGUGUGGGUAUCAAACAGG
RNAcentral lists this ribosomal RNA (252 nucleotides) under uncultured Bacteroidales bacterium. RNAcentral's name for it is "partial 16S ribosomal RNA". It matches the Rfam family "Bacterial small subunit ribosomal RNA", at positions 524 to 776 of the family's 1533-position model. The record is from RNAcentral. Lineage: Bacteria; Pseudomonadati; Bacteroidota; Bacteroidia; Bacteroidales.